AGCGAACGCUGGCGGCAGGCCUAACACAUGCAAGUCGAGCGGGCGUAGCAAUACGUCAGCGGCAGACGGGUGAGUAACGCGUGGGAACGUACCUUUUGGUUCGGAACAACACAGGGAAACUUGUGCUAAUACCGGAUAAGCCCUUACGGGGAAAGAUUUAUCGCCGAAAGAUCGGCCCGCGUCUGAUUAGCUAGUUGGUGUGGUAACGGCGCACCAAGGCGACGAUCAGUAGCUGGCUGAGAGGAUGAUCAGCCACAUUGGGACUGAGAAACGGCCCAGACUCCUACGGGAGGCAGCAGUGGGAAUCUUGCGCAAUGGCCUAACGGCUGACGCAGCGACGCCGCGUGAGGGAUGAAGCUCCUCGGAGUGUAAACCUCUGUUGCCCGGGAACGAAUAGCGGAUUUUCCGACUUGACGGUACCGGGUGAGGAAGCACCGGCUAACUCCGUGCCAGCCGCCGCGGUAAG
RNAcentral lists this ribosomal RNA (466 nucleotides) under uncultured bacterium. RNAcentral describes it as "bacterial SSU rRNA". It matches the Rfam family "Bacterial small subunit ribosomal RNA", at positions 29 to 524 of the family's 1533-position model. The record is from RNAcentral.